RNAcentral lists this ribosomal RNA (856 nucleotides) under Inocybe sp. RNAcentral's name for it is "LSU rRNA". It matches the Rfam family "Eukaryotic large subunit ribosomal RNA", at positions 82 to 922 of the family's 3401-position model. Lineage: Eukaryota; Fungi; Basidiomycota; Agaricomycetes; Agaricales; Inocybaceae. The record is from RNAcentral.
AGUAACUGCGAGUGAAGUGGGAUAAGCUCAAAUUUGUAAUCUGGCAGCCCUUGGCUGUCCGAGUUGUAAUCUAGAGAAGUGCUUACCUGUGCUGGACCAUGUACAAGUCUCCUGGAAUGGAGCAUCACAGAGGGUGAGAAUCCCGUCUUUGACAUGGACUACCAGUGCUUCUAGGUGUGCUCUCAAAGAGUCGAGUUGUUUGGGAAUGCAGCUCAAAAUGGGUGGUAAAUGCCAUCUAAAGCUAAAUAUUGGCGAGAGACCGAUAGCGAACAAGUACCGUGAGGGAAAGAUGAAAAGAACUUUGGAAAGAGAGUUAAACAGUACGUGAAAUUGCUGAAAGGGAAACGCUUGAAGUCAGUCACAUCGGUUGGAAAUCAACCUUGCUUUUGCUUGGUGUACUUUCCAUCUGAUGGGUCAGCAUCAAUUUUGGUUGCUGGAUAAAGUUCUUGGGAAUGUGGCAUCUUUGGAUGUGUUAUAGCCCUUGGACGCAUACAGCAGCUGAGAUUGAGGGAACUCAGCAUGCCGCAAGGCUGGGCUUUGUCCACAUAACGUGCUUAGGAUGCUGGCAUAAUGGCUUUAAUCGACCCGUCUUGAAACACGGACCAAGGAGUCUAACAUACCUGCAAGUGUUUGAGUGGAAAACUCAUGCGCGUAAUGAAAGUGAUGGUUGAGAUCCCUGUCGUGGGGAGCAUCGACGCCCAGACCGGACCUUUUGUGAUGGAUCUGCGGUAGAGCAUGUAUGUUGGGACCCGAAAGAUGGUGAACUAUGCCUGAAUAGGGUGAAGCCAGAGGAAACUCUGGUGGAGGCUCGUAGCGAUUCUGACGUGCAAAUCGAUCGUCAAAUUUGGGUAUAGGG